RNAcentral lists this ribosomal RNA (450 nucleotides) under uncultured Glomeromycotina. RNAcentral describes it as "SSU rRNA". It matches the Rfam family "Eukaryotic small subunit ribosomal RNA", at positions 569 to 1022 of the family's 1831-position model. The record is from RNAcentral. Lineage: Eukaryota; Fungi; Glomeromycota.
AGCAGCCGCGGUAAUUCCAGCUCCAAUAGCGUAUAUUAAAGUUGUUGCAGUUAAAAAGCUCGUAGUUGAAUUUCGGGAUCAAUACGUCGGUCGUGCUUUCGGGUACGUACUGGCGUCAUUGGUUUCUCCUUUCUGACGAACCAUGAUGUCAUUAAUUUGGUGUUAUGGGGAGUUAGGACUGUUACCUUGAAAAAAUUAGAGUGUUUAUAGCAGGCUAACGCUUGAAUACAUUAGCAUGGAAUAAUGAAAUAGGACGUUCGACCCUAUUUUGUUGGUUUCUAGGAUCGACGUAAUGAUUAAUAGGGAUAGUUGGGGGCAUUAGUAUUCAAUUGUCAGAGGUGAAAUUCUUGGAUUUAUUGAAGACUAACUACUGCGAAAGCAUUUGCCAAGGAUGUUUUCAUUAAUCAAGAACGAAAGUUAGGGGAUCGAAGACGAUCAGAUACCGUCGUA